UUAGCGGCGGACGGGUGAGUAACACGUGGAUAACCUACCUAUAAGACUGGGAUAACUUCGGGAAACCGGAGCUAAUACCGGAUAAUAUUUUGAACCGCAUGGUUCAAAAGUGAAAGACGGUCUUGCUGUCACUUAUAGAUGGAUCCGCGCUGCAUUAGCUAGUUGGUAAGGUAACGGCUUACCAAGGCAACGAUGCAUAGCCGACCUGAGAGGGUGAUCGGCCACACUGGAACUGAGACACGGUCCAGACUCCUACGGGAGGCAGCAGUAGGGAAUCUUCCGCAAUGGGCGAAAGCCUGACGGAGCAACGCCGCGUGAGUGAUGAAGGUCUUCGGAUCGUAAAACUCUGUUAUUAGGGAAGAACAUAUGUGUA
This 373-nucleotide ribosomal RNA is filed under the name Staphylococcus aureus. Its description in RNAcentral is "bacterial SSU rRNA". It matches the Rfam family "Bacterial small subunit ribosomal RNA", at positions 92 to 459 of the family's 1533-position model. The record is from RNAcentral. Lineage: Bacteria; Bacillati; Bacillota; Bacilli; Caryophanales; Staphylococcaceae.